RNAcentral lists this ribosomal RNA (382 nucleotides) under uncultured marine Chaetocerotaceae. RNAcentral's name for it is "SSU rRNA". It matches the Rfam family "Eukaryotic small subunit ribosomal RNA", at positions 587 to 972 of the family's 1831-position model. The record is from RNAcentral. Lineage: Eukaryota; Bacillariophyta; Thalassiosirophyceae; Chaetocerotales; Chaetocerotaceae.
AGCUCCAAUAGCGUAUAUUAAAGUUGUUGCAGUUAAAAAGCUCGUAGUUGGAUUUCUGGUGUGAGGGAACGGUCCGACCUCUGGUGGGUACUUGCUUCCUCUCACGCCAUCCUUGAGUGGUGCGUUCUGGCAUUCAGUUGUCGGGACGUUAGCCGCUCAUCGUUUACUGUGAGAAAAUUAGAGUGUUCAAAGCAGGCUUAUGCCGUUGAAUAUAUUAGCAUGGAAUAAUAAGAUAGGACUUCGGUACUAUUUGGUUGGUUUGCGCACCGAUGUAAUGAUUAAUAGGGACAGUUGGGGGUAUUCGUAUUCAGUUGUCAGAGGUGAAAUUCUUAGAUUUACGGAAGACGAACUACUGCGAAAGCAUUUACCAAGGAUGUUUUCA